Molecule: unclassified non-coding RNA, 337 nt
Filed under: soil metagenome
Description: partial contains 5.8S ribosomal RNA, internal transcribed spacer 2, and large subunit ribosomal RNA
Rfam family: 5.8S ribosomal RNA (bases 1-120)
Source: RNAcentral
GAUGAAGAACGUAGCGAAAUGCGAUAAGUAAUGUGAAUUGCAGAAUUCAGUGAAUCAUCGAAUCUUUGAACGCACAUUGCGCCCCUUGGUAUUCCGAGGGGCAUGCCUGUUCGAGCGUCAUUACACCACUCAAGCUAUGCUUGGUAUUGGGCGUCUUCCUUAGUUGGGCGCGCCUUAAAGACCUCGGCGAGGCCACUCCGGCUUUAGGCGUAGUAGAAUUUAUUCGAACGUCUGUCAAAGGAGAGGAACUCUGCCGACUGAAACCUUUAUUUUUCUAGGUUGACCUCGGAUCAGGUAGGGAUACCCGCUGAACUUAAGCAUAUCAAUAAGCGGAGGA